Molecule: ribosomal RNA, 490 nt
Filed under: uncultured bacterium
Lineage: Bacteria
Description: bacterial SSU rRNA
Rfam family: Bacterial small subunit ribosomal RNA
Source: RNAcentral
GAUGAACGCUAGCGAUAGGCCUAACACAUGCAAGUCGAGGGGCAUCACAUGAAGUAGCAAUACGGAUGGUGGCGACCGGCGCACGGGUGAGUAACACGUAUGCAACCUGCCUUCAACAAGGGGAUAACCCAUUGAAAGACGGACUAAUACCCUAUAACACAGGGGUCCCGCAUGGGAAUAUUUGUUAAAGGACAACCGGUUGAAGAUGGGCAUGCGUUCCAUUAGCUAGUUGGCGGGGUAACGGCCCACCAAGGCAACGAUGGAUAGGGGAACUGAGAGGUUUAUCCCCCACACUGGUACUGAGACACGGACCAGACUCCUACGGGAGGCAGCAGUGAGGAAUAUUGGUCAAUGGACGCAAGUCUGAACCAGCCACGUCGCGUGAAGGAAGACGGCCCUACGGGUUGUAAACUUCUUUUAUACGGGAAUAAAGUGCCCCACGCGUGGGGUUUUGCAUGUACCGUAUGAAUAAGGAUCGGCUAACUCCGUG